CCUACGGGAGGCAGCAGUGGGGAAUAUUGGGCAAUGGGCGCAAGCCUGACCCAGCAACGCCGCGUGAAGGAAGAAGGCUUUCGGGUUGUAAACUUCUUUUCUCAGGGACGAAGCAAGUGACGGUACCUGCGGAAUAAGCCACGGCUAACUACGGGCCAGCAGCCGCGGUAAUACGUAGGUGGCAAGCGUUAUCCGGAUUUACUGGGUGUAAAGGGCGUGUAGGCGGGAAAGCAAGUCAGAUGUGAAAACCAUGGGCUCAACCUGUGGCCUGCAUUUGAAACUGUUUUUCUUGAGUACUGGAGAGGCAGACGGAAUGCCUAGUGUAGCGGUGAAAUGCAUAGAUAUUAGGAGGAACACCGGUGGCGAAGGCGGUCUGCUGGACAGCAACUGACGCUGAGGCGCGAAAGCGUGGGGAGCAAACAGGAUUAGAUACCCGGGUAGUC
Molecule: ribosomal RNA, 443 nt
Filed under: uncultured bacterium
Lineage: Bacteria
Description: partial 16S ribosomal RNA
Rfam family: Bacterial small subunit ribosomal RNA
Source: RNAcentral